Molecule: long non-coding RNA, 2419 nt
Organism: Equus caballus (horse)
Lineage: Eukaryota; Metazoa; Chordata; Mammalia; Perissodactyla; Equidae
Source: Ensembl
GAGGGGAAACAUUUGGAACAGCUGCAGUAAGGAAUGCAAGAGGGAGUCAACAAGCAAUAAAUAAAAGAAUUGCUGAGAUACAAUGAGAGUCCAGCUGAGGUCAGUUGACUCGGUCACUAUUGUUUAGUGACUUGCUUCAGUUUAUCAAUAUGGGAAGAGAAAUUGGGCAAUAGGAGUUAUUGAAAUGUGGAGAUCGGUAAAGUGGAAAUAACAGAAGAAUGAAGAGGGAGACACAGGCAGGUUCAUAGAGCCGGAGACCGAAUACUCUUGAUAAAUAUCCAUUGGAUGAAUGAACAUGUUAAGAAGGACCACUCAGUUAAUUCAUGUAAUUUGGGGGACAAUGCAUCUCUGCGCCAAGAUCAAGUUACUGAGGGAUCAGGAGCGGCAGGAGAGACCACCGGCGAAGAACAGCUGUCUCAUGAAACAGCAGGAAAGAGUGCUCCAGGAAGGACAAGAGGGACCCCAAAGAAAGGUGCACAUUCAGAAGAGUUCAAUUUAGGAUGUUGCAGAAAUAACUCUGUAGAAGCCUCAGGGCCUAGACUGAGAAAAGAAAUGGAAUGGAACUUCAGUGGCCUGUGGGACUGUAAUAAAAGAUCUAAUAUUUGUGUCAUUGGAUUCCAGAAAGAGAGGAGAAAGAGGGAGAAGCAGAAAAAGUAUUCAAAACAAAAAUGGUGGAAAACUUUUCAAAUUUGCCAAAAGACAUAAGUGUACAUAUUUUAAAAGCUGAAGGAAUUCCAAAUAGGAUAAAUGCAAACAAACCCACACCAAGAAACACCCUAGAGCAGCUUCUGAAAACUAAAGACAAAGAAAGAAAACUUGAAAGCAGUGAGAAAGAAGUCGCCUCACCUAUGGGGGAAAAACAAUUAGAAUGAUAGCAGUCUUCUCAUCAGAAAUCGUGGAAGCCAGAAAGAAGUGGUUCAACAUUUUUCAAGUGCUGAAAGGAAAGAGUCCCAUAUACUGAGGAAAUAUUCUUCAGGAACCAAGGAAAAAUCAAGGCAGUUACAGAUGCAGAAAAAGUAAGAAAAUUUGUUAUCAGCAGAUCUAAAAGAAUGACCAAAGGAAGUUACCUAAACAGAAAGGAAGUGAUAAUGAGAGACGAUGGAAUCUUGGAACAUUGAGAGGGAAGAAAGAACAAUAGAAAGAGGAAAAACACACGUAAAUAUAUCCUUCUCCUGUUGAGUUUCCCAAAUUUUAUUUCAUUGUUGAAACAAAAUAUAUGACACUAUUUGCUAUGGUUCUAGAUAUAUAGAGAGGAAAUAUUGAAGAUAAUUAUAAGUGGUAGAGAGUAAAGGGAUGUUAAAAUAGGACAAGUUUCUACACUUCACCCAAACUGCUAAAUAUCUUGUGGAUAAUGAGAGCCAAUUUUCUCUGUCAGGGACAGGAGUUAAAAAUAAAGGGAGAGACAAGGCCAGGACAGAUCUUGUGGUAUUGCACCGGACUCAGAAAUAUUAAUACAAAAUCAUGCUUAAAAAUUUUAAAAUAUGUACAGUUAGAUAUCAAUAUAAAUGUGUGAGUACGUAUGCAUACAUACAUUUAUUUCCUAGCUCAAAUUAUUCUAAAAGUAAUCACACCCAAAUAACAAUGAAUAAAUCAAAGUGCUGAGAUAUUUAUUUAUAAAUAGCAUUUUCCAAUGAAAGGGAGUGGAUGUUUCUAGGUCUGAGGCAGAGACAGUACAAGAUGAACUUGGAACAUCAAUCAUCAAUCAUAUGAACAUCAAUCAAAGUAAGAAAGUGCUCAAAAAGGAUAAUGCCAUAUCAAAAGAGCUCAGGAGUCAACUUGAAAAGCUACCAGUGGCCAAAUCUGGGACAUUUUUAGCCACAACAUAAUAAUGCUACACAAUAAUAAUAAUACAUUAGUAUUAUAGCCCAUAAACUAAAAAAGCAAAUAUUCAUUGGUUUACCCUGAUAUGAAUAAUAAAUAAGUAAAUAAAAAGAUGGAAAUAUGGAUAGAUAGAAAAUAGAAAGGGGAAAACUUUUCCUUACAGUACAAUUUGAAUAUAUAAAUAGAGAAAGAAUCAUAGAAAUUGAAAAUCAUCAUUUGUAGACACACUGUAAUAAUUGUCCUUGGCAAGUAUCAUCAACGUAUGCUAAAAUUAGUUGGGGUAAGUAUUAUGAGAAACAGGAUAUUUGGCAAGUUCAAAGUAUCUCUCCAUAAGGUGCUUAUCAAUUAAAAUUAAAAUUCAUUGAUUUUAUGGGGCAGAAAGUUGGCAGACACCACCUUAACACAGUUAUCAAAGCUAUAUCACUAAUAAUGAGACACGUUGUCAUUAUGUACUUGAUAAAUGAGGCACUGAGGAGGGUACAACUAAUUUCUGUGUUACUCUCGCCAAAAAAUGUAUGACUCAGACUGAAGGAGAAAUGUAAACUAAAUACAAUGAGGGAUCCUGGUUAUUAGGAUGGUAAAAAGAAAUUAUUGGGAC